RNAcentral lists this ribosomal RNA (253 nucleotides) under uncultured bacterium. RNAcentral's name for it is "partial 16S ribosomal RNA". It matches the Rfam family "Bacterial small subunit ribosomal RNA", at positions 524 to 776 of the family's 1533-position model. The record is from RNAcentral.
UACGUAGGGGGCGAGCGUUGUCCGGAUUUAUUGGGCGUAAAGAGCGUGUAGGCGGCCAUGUAGGUCCGUUGUGAAAACUCGAGGCUCAACCUCGAGACGCCGAUGGAAACCAUGUGGCUAGAGUCCGGAAGAGGAGAGUGGAAUUCCUGGUGUAGCGGUGAAAUGCGCAGAUAUCAGGAAGAACACCCGUGGCUAAGGCGGCUCUCUAGUACGGUACUGACGCUGAGACGCGAAAGCGUGGGGAGCGAACAGG